AGUCGAACGAAGCGUUCUGGUUCGGUUUAUCUGAACCGGGAUGACUUAGUGGCGGACGGGUGAGUAACAUGUGGGUAACCUACCCGGGAGACCGGGAUAACAGCUCGAAAGGGCUGCUAAUACCGGAUAAGGUAUAGGGGAUUAGGUUCCACUAUACCAAAGGCGUUAAGUAGUGCUCCUGGAUGGGCCCGCGGCUCAUUAGCUAGUUGGUAAGGUAAGGGCUUACCAAGGCGAUGAUGGGUAGCCGGUCUGAGAGGAUGGUCGGCCACACUGGGACUGAGAACGGCCCAGACUCCUACGGGAGGCAGCAGUGGGGAAUAUUGCGCAAUGGGGCAACCCUGACGCAGCGACGCCGUGUGAGUGAAGAAGGCCCUCGGGUUGUAAAGCUCUGUCAGGGGGGAAGAAGGAGACGGUACCCCCUGAGGAAGCCCCGGCUAACUACGUGCCAGCAGCCGCGGUAAGACGUGGGGGGCGAGCGUUGUCCGGAAUUACUGGGCGUAAAGGGCGUGUAGGCGGCCUAUCAAGUCAGUGGUGAAAGCCCUUGGCUCAACCGAGGAAUUGCCAUUGAAACUGGUAGGCUUGAGUGCAGGAGAGGAGAGCGGAAUUCCCGGUGUAGCGGUGAAAUGCGUAGAUAUCGGGAAGAACACCAGUGGCGAAGGCGGCUCUCUGGCCUGUUACUGACGCUGAGGCGCGAAAGCUAGGGGAGCGAACAGGAUUAGAUACCCUGGUAGUCCUAGCCGUAAACGCUGGGUACUAGGUGUAGGCAGCGUAGAGCUGUCUGUGCCGCA
RNAcentral lists this ribosomal RNA (788 nucleotides) under uncultured low G+C Gram-positive bacterium. RNAcentral describes it as "bacterial SSU rRNA". It matches the Rfam family "Bacterial small subunit ribosomal RNA", at positions 60 to 850 of the family's 1533-position model. Lineage: Bacteria; Bacillati; Bacillota. The record is from RNAcentral.